RNAcentral lists this ribosomal RNA (308 nucleotides) under uncultured bacterium. RNAcentral describes it as "bacterial SSU rRNA". It matches the Rfam family "Bacterial small subunit ribosomal RNA", at positions 774 to 1076 of the family's 1533-position model. The record is from RNAcentral.
AGUCAAUAGAUACCCUGGUAGUCCUGGCCCUAAACGAUGUCCACUAGAUCGUGGCGGCUCUGACGCCGUCAUGGUCGAAGCAAAAGUGCUAAGUGGACCGCCUGGGAAGUACGGUCGCAAGGCUAAAACUCAAAGGAAUUGACGGGGGCUCACACAAGCGGUGGAGCAUGUGGUUCAAUUCGAAGCAACGCGCAGAACCUUACCUGGGCUUGACAUGCUAGGAUUAUCUCUAUGAAAGUAGAGUAGGCCCUGGGGUACAACUAGUACAGGUGCUGCAUGGCUGUCGUCAGCUCGUGUCGUGAGAUGUC